Molecule: long non-coding RNA, 468 nt
Organism: Rhinopithecus roxellana (golden snub-nosed monkey)
Lineage: Eukaryota; Metazoa; Chordata; Mammalia; Primates; Cercopithecidae
Exons: 3
Source: RefSeq, a predicted model, not a curated record
UCGGGGUCCUGCGGCGGCGGGGGAAAGGACCUGGGCUUCCGGGGUUCCGGGGACCGAGCGGCCGGCGGGCGCAGGCGAGGCGGAGGAGGGCAGCCCCGGCAGGCCCCGGACCCCCGGUGGGCGUGGCGCUGCGGGCUAGGGCCCCCGUCAACCACACCUGAGUUUAUGUUAAUACGGUGACUUUUGGAAAUCUCCCAAAGAUGAGGAGCUGGUUACCAGAGGAACAACCAUGUGAUUACAGAAUUGGAACUUUCAACCCCACCCACUCACCUACCCCAGCCUCUAGAGAGAGGAAAGGGGUUGAAGGCUAGGGCAUGGAUGUGUGGUGAUGAGUUAGCUUUUUCUGUAUGAAGACCAUACUUUAGAUGAUGGCGGAGUAACCAGACAGAAGGUGCUGUGUCCCUGGAUAACUGCGCAACCUGCCAAUCUAGAUUUCUGCCUGCCCCUGCUAUAUUUUGUGAGAGAAAA